GAUAACGCGUGGCGCGCACAUAAGACAUGCAAGUCGAACGGGACUUAACGUCGAAAGGUUUACUUUGAGAGCGGUUAGUGGCGGACUGGUGAGUAACGCGUGAGCAACCUGCCUAUUAGAGGGGAAUAACAGUGAGAAAUCACUGCUGAUACCGCAUAUGCUUACACUAUCACAUGAUAGAGUGAGGAAAGGAGCAAUCCACUAGUAGAUGGGCUCGCGUCUGAUUAGCUAGUUGGUGGGGUAAUAGCCUACCAAGGCGACGAUCAGUAGCCGGACUGAGAGGUUGAUCGGCCACAUUGGGACUGAGACACGGCCCAG
This 318-nucleotide ribosomal RNA is filed under the name uncultured bacterium. RNAcentral's name for it is "bacterial SSU rRNA". It matches the Rfam family "Bacterial small subunit ribosomal RNA", at positions 32 to 334 of the family's 1533-position model. The record is from RNAcentral.